CAGCCGCCGCGGUAAUACGAAGGUGGCAAGCGUUGUUCGGAUUCACUGGGCGUACAGGGAGCGUAGGCGGUUGGGUAAGCCCUCCGUGAAAUCUCCGGGCCUAACCCGGAAAGUGCAGAGGGGACUGCUCGGCUAGAGGAUGGGAGAGGAGCGCGGAAUUCCCGGUGUAGCGGUGAAAUGCGUAGAGAUCGGGAGGAAGGCCGGUGGCGAAGGCGGCGCUCUGGAACAUUUCUGACGCUGAGGUACGAAAGCAUGGGGAGCAAACAGGAUUAGAUACCCGCGUAGUCCCUGUCUCUUAUAC
RNAcentral lists this ribosomal RNA (301 nucleotides) under uncultured bacterium. Its description in RNAcentral is "partial 16S ribosomal RNA". It matches the Rfam family "Bacterial small subunit ribosomal RNA", at positions 509 to 807 of the family's 1533-position model. The record is from RNAcentral.